AUUUCCUAGUGGCGAACGGGUGAGUAACGCGUUGGUGAUCUGCCCCGAAGUGUGGAAUAACAGCCCGAAAGGGUUGCUAAUACCGCAUGUGGUCGUGAGGUUUAGAAACUCAUGUCUAAAGGAGAAAUCCGCUUUGGGAGGAGCCUGCGUCCCAUCAGCUAGUUGGUAGGGUAACGGCCUACCAAGGCGAUGACGGGUAGGGGGCCUGAGAGGGUGGCCCCCCACAAUGGUACUGAAACACGGACCAU
This 248-nucleotide ribosomal RNA is filed under the name uncultured bacterium. Its description in RNAcentral is "partial 16S ribosomal RNA". It matches the Rfam family "Bacterial small subunit ribosomal RNA", at positions 87 to 334 of the family's 1533-position model. The record is from RNAcentral.